This is a long non-coding RNA of Camelus dromedarius (Arabian camel), 1001 nucleotides long. RefSeq lists it as uncharacterized. The transcript has 5 exons. NCBI's taxonomy places the organism in Eukaryota, Metazoa, Chordata, Mammalia, Artiodactyla, Camelidae. The record is from RefSeq and is a predicted model, not a curated record.
GCCGAGCUCUUCCCGCAGAGCAGAGCGAGCCACCGCAAGGAGGCUGAGUGGGUGCCGCCGCGUGGAGGCGGCGGGAGUGGAUAGAGGCCCUCCUUCCCUGCGCGUGUCUGUGUCCCCUCUACGCUUCUUGUAAGGAACCCAGUCGACGGAGUUAGGACCCACCCUAGUCCGAGUAUGACUUUGUCUUAAAUAGUUACAUCUUCAAAGACUCCAUCUCCACAUAGGAUGACCUUUUCAAGUUCUGGGUAAAAUCUGGACAAAGUAGAAACCAGCUGUCCGAGGACUCCGAGAAGUAGGCAGAAGCAGGCGAGAGGUGGGGGCGCCCGCGCUUGGAGCUGCGUCCCGCGUGAGGGUGAACAAAGGAGAAGUCCGUCUACUUACCACACGGACGACAGGUGUUUUCCAAAGCACACUCCGGGCCCCCAGGGGAUCCUGAACGUUACCUGUGAAACUGUCCAGACACGCAUGACUUCUCUUUGGUUCUUCCAGUAUUUGGAGAGCAGAGGGAGAAAUGUUUCACCCAGGAGCUGUGAGUCAGCCCUGAACCCACGCAGCCAUGGAAGCCCCAUCUGAAGGUGCAUCUCACACGAGGAGGCCUCCUGGAUGGACCUGGAGAUGGUCCCACUGAGUGAAGUAAGUCAAACAGAGAAAGACAAAUAUCAUACGGUAUCACUUAUAUGUGGAAUCUAAAAAAAUGACACAAAAGAACUUAUUUACAAAACAGAAACAGACUCUCAGACGCAGAAAACUAACGUACAGUCACCAGGGGGAAGAGGGGAAUGGAGGGAUAAACUGGGAGUUGGGACUUGCAGACACACUGCUGUAUGUAAACCAGAGAGACAGCAGGCCCUCCUGGACAGCACAGGGAGCUGUAUUCAAUACCUCGUAAUGGCCUAUGAUGAAAAGAGAAUAUGAAAAGGAAUAUAUAUACGUACAACUACGUUGUACACCAAAAAGCAACACAACAUUGUAAACCGACUACGUUUCAAUUAAAAAAAAUA